AUUACGGCUUUCUUUAAAGCCACCUUUAUUAUGAUCCCAGCAUAUG
Molecule: non-coding RNA, 46 nt
Organism: Struthio camelus australis
Lineage: Eukaryota; Metazoa; Chordata; Aves; Struthioniformes; Struthionidae
Source: Rfam